GAUAGAAUGACUGAAAUAAUAGGUAAUAAAUUGUAAAUUUAUUUAUGGUUAAUAAAACCUUCUAUCA
RNAcentral lists this transfer RNA (67 nucleotides) under Hippotiscus dorsalis. Its description in RNAcentral is "tRNA-Tyr". Lineage: Eukaryota; Metazoa; Arthropoda; Insecta; Hemiptera; Pentatomidae. The record is from RNAcentral.